RNAcentral lists this long non-coding RNA (2773 nucleotides) under Malus domestica (apple). RNAcentral's name for it is "long non-coding RNA (MDOM_LNC020186)". The record is from RNAcentral. Lineage: Eukaryota; Viridiplantae; Streptophyta; Magnoliopsida; Rosales; Rosaceae.
AGUUACUUGCUUGACAUGUGAGUAGACCUCCAUGCAAGUACUCUCGUUCGAUUGCGUUCAGUGAACUCAUUCUCUUAAUGAGCACCUACAUACUUGUCUUAGUGUCACAACACGAAUGGGAUGAGACUUUCCAUCCUUCCAUUUGAAACGGACACAGUAUGUACCGGUCUAAGCAUUGUCAGUUUCCCUCUGACAAUCCAAUGACUAGGAACCUUUUGGACACAAUGGUUAUGUGAAGAAGGUCUCUGUAGUCUAACUUCAUUAGAUUACUUCUUCAAUCGAUCCAUUGUCCAUGGAUACACUAUUUAGGACAUAUAUCGUUAAUUGAGAUAGUCCUAAUUCGUGUCUUUGCCAUUUGAUGUAUAAGAUUCAUCCAUACAUCGUUUCAUUUGUCCUGAAAGGUUUCUUCCAAAGAUUGACUUUCAGGGCAUAUUUCCAACAAUCUCCCACUUGCACUAAAGUCAAUCACUAGUGUAUCUUAUACAUCUUGUUGAGAGAGCUUAUGCUCGUAGGUUAACUUGGUUAUGUAUUAAUCCCUUUUAUUAUUUAAAAGGGAUUUUCUUAUCAAAUGUUCCCAAAAACAUUUGAUGAUGUCUCUUUAUUGUGUUCGAAUACUUUGAUGAGACCUUGAUUCCAUGGCUUGAGCUAUCGCCCCAUUACGUCGUAGUACCAUACUGACGACCUUAUGGUUUGGAUUCAAUCAUUGGUUCUAAAAGAACCUCUUCCAUUCAAAACACCUUUUGAAGCAGUUUCUAAAACUAUAUAUCGACAUAUAUUUUGUUUGUAUACUUUAUACAAACUUUGCUCCAACCUUGAGACCAUUGUAGUACAAUACUAAACAAUCAUUCAUAUGAUUAGUACUUCAUCCAUUAUGAAGUUCCAUUUGUUAAAAUGGCUUAUUUUCACUUUGGUUAACAACCUAAGUGAAUGCACGCUUCCAGAGUCCCACUCUGAUGUUUCUUUCUUAAAGGCAAUAAUACUCUUUCAGUUGCUUUGGUUCUGAUCCUGGGAUUUAGUAAUAUCUUAUAGUGACAACCCUUGUGGUUCUUCACUUUUGGAUAUCUACUUCACAAGUCAAUACAUGUGUCCCUUUUGUGAUUUUAUGACACAUUCAUUAUAAGGGUUAUGAAAGUGAUUUCCUAUUACAUAAGAAAAUGCUUUCUUAAAUCUACAACAUUUGAGAUUUAAUUCCCAUAUAACAUUAUUGAGAUAGCCUUGCUUAUAUCAAUAAGUCCGAUUUCAAGUCUAUACUUCAAAAUUGACCAUGUCAUGUUUUGUCAUUUCUCGAGUAACAUCUAUGUUUUAUCAAGUCUAUCAAAUAGACUUUAUUCACAUCUUGUUGCUCAAAUUAUGACAUCACUCCCACUGGCCUUGUUGUGACUUAGCAUUCAUUCAAAAAUAACAAUUAUAUUUUCUUGAUUUGAAUGCAUAUUGCUCCCACUAACUUAAAUGAAUCACACACAAAAGAAUUCCUUCUCAAGUAAUUCCAUUUGAAAUGUAUGACUUGUUCCAUUAAGUCUAUUCAUUUAAAUUAUAUGGUGUCAUACACCAUACUUCAAGUUUUAGUCAUACUAAGACCUUUAAUGUAGUCAUAUAAAAAUUAUCCAAGUCUUUAGUGGAAGCAUGGCUCCUACUAAGGAUAUAGAAACUCAACCAUUCCUUCUAGGUGGUUGAUAUAAUUCUUUAUAAAAACUACAUAGAGCAAUAUUGUUACAUGAGAUGUUGAAUUUGGUUUGUCUUGUUGUUAAACCAUAUGUUGUGACUCAUUUUGAAAUUUAUUCCCUUUUGUUUCAUCAACUUGUCCAUAUGCUUGGUUAUUUAGCUUGUUCUCAUAAAAGAGAAUUAUGGACAACUCCCAACAUAUAACCAUUUUAUGCUAGGUUGAUGAAAUCAACAUUCAAAGACUAUUCUUUAGAAUGUCACACAACAUAGAAUUUUAACGUUUUGAAGAGCUUGAGUCUUUUAACAAUUAAAAUUGCAAACUCUUAACAAUAGUCAAAUACUAUUAUUCUUUAGACAACUAUAAACCAAUCAUAUUCAAGUUUAUAUCCAUUUUCACAGCUCCCACUAUUUCUCAUGACUUUAAUGAGAAAUCAUUUCAUAUAUUCAAAAUGUAUGAAAGUGGAGUAUAUUGGAAGAAGACAUUGUGUAGUAGCUUUAAAACAUUUCAAGCUUUAAUUGUUUCAAUCUUCUCUAAGUUAAUGUCUUGUUAUUAAGUGACUAAAGUCUUUAAACAUUUUAUAGAUUUAGACACUUCUUUCUUGGUUUAAUCACUAACACAAUUGACAUUUUAAAACCUUUUAAAGAAUGCCCAAUUAGUUGUUCAAAAUUACUAAUUGAAUCAAGAGUGAUCUUGAUCAUUGUGUUUCAAGUGAUAACCAUAUAAGAAACGUUUUUCUUAUUACUUAUAUCAUUAUAAUGUGAUCUUCCUUUUCUUCAAGAAAGGAUACUCUAGACUUUUGUCAAUUCAUAUAGAACUCAUAGGUCGAGAAAUGGAACCAAAUCUAAAGAUUCAUUGUAUCCUUUUAUGUCCUACAUGUGAGAUCUAUCCAUAAUUGAUAAAUCUAAAGUUUGGUUAUCACAUUACAAUAAGUGAUAUAACUCUUGUAUCUCAACUAGGAUACAACAAGACAAUUUUCAAUUCAUAACACUACUUUAAGGAAAUAGUAUAUUAUAAGGCAUUCUUCACAUUACAUUAAUAUGAUAUUUCAAAUAUUCAUAAUGUUUAAUACAAAAAGUAUUAGCUCUAUACAUUUAGAGACUAAUAUAAAUA